GACGAACGCUGGCGGCGUGCUUAAUACAUGCAAGUCGAACGGACAGGCCCUGCUCUUGCUGCUUUCUCGUUUGCCGCGCAGGUGAGUAUCACGCGUGUAACCUCCCCUUGUCUUUCUGAUAUCUUCUGGGAACUGCGGCUCUUAUCGCGUAUGAUCUCCUGCUGCAUGUUGUUGGUUGGUGAGGUUCGGCGGUUGGGUCUAGACUCGCUGCUUCUCGGCUUGUUUGUCGGGUAGUGGCUUUCCCAGGCUUUGACGGGUAGCCGGCCUGAGAGGGUGACCGGCCACAUUGGGACUGAGAGACGGACCAGAAUCGUACGGGAGGCAGCAGUGGGGAAUAUUGCACAAUGGGCGGAAGCCUGAGGCAGCAACGCCGCGAGCGGGAUGACGGCCUUCGGGGUGUAAACCGAUGUCGAAGGUGACGAAGCGUGAGUGACGGUAAUGGGUAAAGAAGCAACGGCUAACUACGUG
This 468-nucleotide ribosomal RNA is filed under the name uncultured bacterium. RNAcentral's name for it is "partial 16S ribosomal RNA". It matches the Rfam family "Bacterial small subunit ribosomal RNA", at positions 28 to 507 of the family's 1533-position model. The record is from RNAcentral.